GACGUAGGUGGCGAACGUUAUCCGGAAUCAUUGGGCGUAAAGGGUGCGUAGCUGGCAUGAUAAGUUAUUAGUGGGAAAUCAAGGCUCAACCUCGUGGAAGCUAGUAAUACUGUUUUGCUUGAGUACAGAAGAGGUUAACGGAACUCCAUGUGGAGCGGUAAAAUGCGUAGAUAUAUGGAAGAACACCAAUAACGGCGAAGGCAGUUAACUAUUCUGUUACUGACAUUGAGGCACGAAAGCGUGGGGAGCAAAACGG
Molecule: ribosomal RNA, 256 nt
Filed under: uncultured bacterium
Lineage: Bacteria
Description: partial 16S ribosomal RNA
Rfam family: Bacterial small subunit ribosomal RNA
Source: RNAcentral